UGAAUAUAUAACCUUCAUUUGUUUUUUAUCUACUGUUUAACUUAAUAUUUCUUCUUCCCAUUCAUUACUUAUUUAAUGUACCCCAUCAGUCCUAUUUAUAUUUGUUUUAAGGCUGGUAACAAUUGAUGUUAGGGGAUUAGCUGGGAGCUAGGUAGGUCUGUACACACAGAUUGCCUUAUAUGUGAACGCUCUUGUAGGACGUUCAGAUUGCUGCUGUGCAUAUGAUCAAUAAAGUAAUUUUGCGUUCCAGCAUGGUCGCGCGUGCGUCAUAAUGUACAUGCGCGAUCACGGAAGUGGCUGGACAGACCGGCAGAUUUAAAGGACCACUAUAGUCCGGCUCUGGGGAGAGGAAAGGGGUAAAAACUUACCUUUUUCCAGCGCUCGGCGGUGAGCUCUCCUCCUCCGAUCCUCCUCCUCUCCGCCCAUUCGGCUGAAUGCGCACGCGCGGCAAGAGCUGCGCGUGCAUUCACCCGGUCGCAUAGGAAAGCAUUUACAAUGCUUUCCUAUGGAUGCUUGCGUCUUCUCACUGUAAAAAUCACAGUGAGAAGCACGCAAGCGCCUUUAGUGGCUGUCAAUGAGACAGCCGCUAGACGAUUUGGGGGAAGGCUUAACCCAUUCAUAAACAUAGCAGUUUCUCUGAAACUGCUAUGUUUAUAAAAGAAUGGGUUAACCCUAUCUGGACCUGGCACCCAGACCACUUCAUUAAGCUGAAGUGGUCUGGGUGCCUAGAGUGGUCCUUUAAAAAGGAGAGAAGAUGGGAAGAAAGAAGAAGCUCCUGAGGAAGUCGCACAGACGAAACGCGUUGAGCAUCAUGUGGACCCUGUAUUUUGGUAUCAGCAGUUUCUUUUUUACAUGUACUUUGGUUCUAUAGAUUGUUUGUGCAGUAUUUGAUUUUGCUGAGUAUUGUUAUCUAUAUUAGUGAUGGGUUUUAUGUCCUUUCACUUUGCUUGAUUUUUGCACUCUAGCACUUGCACUUUUUUAUUUAACAUAGUAUCAUGUUAUAUUGAGCUGCUAUAUCUAUGGGUCUUUAGCCUAUUGAGGCUUUUAUAUAUAUAUAUUUUUUAUACAUUGCACAUAUUUGGUGCUGAGACUGUUUAUAUAUUUCUCAAUAAACUUUGUUAUUUUUAUCUUAUUAUAUUAUUUUAUUAUUUCAUUCUUUUUUAAGCCUCAUUUAUCUUAUUGCCCAUUUGGUGAAUGUGGCCCUGUAACUUCUAUUUUUGGUAUUUUGUUAUUAAGGUUGGACUGACCUUUAUACAGAGGCUGGCCUGCACUUGGGUCUCAUUACCUUUUACCCAUCUUUAU
Molecule: non-coding RNA, 1302 nt
Organism: Pelobates cultripes (western spadefoot toad)
Lineage: Eukaryota; Metazoa; Chordata; Amphibia; Anura; Pelobatidae
Source: the annotation of a GenBank genome assembly